This is an RNA transcript of Brienomyrus brachyistius, 3996 nucleotides long. It is a transcript of the gene named protein phosphatase 1 regulatory subunit 36, with no coding region annotated. The transcript is spliced from 11 exons. NCBI's taxonomy places the organism in Eukaryota, Metazoa, Chordata, Actinopteri, Osteoglossiformes, Mormyridae. The record is from RefSeq and is a predicted model, not a curated record.
UGCUGGUAGAAUUUGAAUUUAAGGCUCGUCAUACUGUUCAUUAUACACUAGUGCUUUGUCACAAGGUUGACUGACUCAUAGUCCGUCUUGGUUAAUUGAUUUAUACCGGCCAUAUUCUCAUUUCAACUGCCAGCAAUUUAUUGGCUUCAUAGUUAAAUUUGGUUUCAUUGGAAUAGCCACGCUAUUUAUAAUGAAAAUCCAUCCAUCCAUUUUCCAAACCGCUUAUCCUACUGGGUCGCGGGGGGUCCGGAGCCUAUCCCGGAAGCAAUGGGCACGAGUCAGAGAACAACCCUGGAUGGGGGGCCAGCCCAUCGCAGGGCACACUCACACACCAUUCACUCACACAUGCACUUUAUAAUGAAAAUGCACAAGGUAAUUUCUGUACAUUUAUGAAAGGUUUUACUUUAAAUAUUUUUCAACAAACCGCAGCAAUUUAUAAUUUUGAAUAAAUGGCAAUAUAAUUUUAAACAUACGUGCUGAUGUCAGGGAAAAACACCAAGGACCUGUCAUUACAAAACCAUCAGAAUCGACCAGCGUUUUGAUUUAGAAUAGGCUCACUUUGCAUAAUGUUUGUUAAUAAAAUAAUUUUGGUAGUAGGUGUAUUUUGCUCAGAAAGAACAAGAACAAAUUUUAAAAUUACAACAUACGCAAAUGAAUAGUAUCAAUAAAAUUUGCUGAUAUAUUGUUUAAUGGCUAUAGCAACAAGUCUGCUAAUCUUCUUCAGGGGCACCCAAACCAUUCCGCGUAUAUAUUAGUUAAAAUUAACAACCAGCUCAAAUAUUUAGUUACAUAAUUACUCACUGAGGCACUGAUUAGACAAACAAGUUUGGGUAAACGUGGACUUAAAUUGGCGUAUUUCAGUUAUUGGCGUAUAUUUCACAUCAGUUGGUCUUUAAAUCGGAUUCUUCAGGAUUUAGAUCCCGUCCUUUGAACCCCGAACCUGAGAUCCUGCCGGUUGCCUGGCAACUGACGUCACUAAACAAAUGCAGGCUUCAGUUGGGUCGAUUUCAGAACGAAAGGGUUCCGUUCGGGUUCCGAAGCGAAGUGGCAAUGGCCAAACUGGUAAUGAUGAAUCCGCCACUUUGGUCUCCUGUUAUACGCUACUUCUCAACUUGUUUGUACUACUUUGGCUUGUUUGUAAAGGUGUUAUAUGGAAGCGCUGUACUGCACGUUUCCCUCGGUUCUGUAGCUGUAAAUUAGUUUCUUCUCUUGUUAUGUUUCGGGCCGUAAUUUUACAGAUCGGCAUUCCUCCAGAUGGGACGUGGAGCUGGAGCGAUGAAACGAAAACUCUCGUGUUUUUACGCUCAAGUGAUAACGAUGAAAUUACAGAAAAUGUGAAGACCAAUCUCAUGCAUACCCCUGAGUUUACUGGCAAAAGACUUGAAAGGUCUGUACGGUCCUCAGCCUUGGCUUCGAAGGGUCACGGUGGCACUUGUGUUCCAGAGGAGCGAAGUAACAUUGGCCAAGUAGCGGGGAAUAUUUACUUAAAGAAGUACCAGUCAGACUGUGUCACCAUUGAGCACAUUAAAGAGGAGGCCCUCUCUCAUCUGCAAAGGGAAAAAUCUCAACGCAUCCCGCCACACUUCCUGUCUCUGCUAAGGGGUGAUGCUCUGGAUGACUUCCUGCGUGUCCUAUUACUGUACCUGUCCUGCUUUUUUGAACGGAGGAUGCUGGCCAAGAAGACCAAGACACGCAUGGCAGAGCAGAGUGUAACAGAACAGCAGGAGAUGGUGGAGGCUGCUGCCAAGCUGGACCUGGCCCUAAAGCAGCUUGCCUCUUGCUAUGCCAGCUUGAUCCUAGGAGCGAGUCUGCCGCAGCACCAUCACAUGGCAUGCGGAAGGAGCAGAACAUCAUCGACUUUCAGAGACAGGCAGUUCUUUGAAUGGGUGUACAGCUUCAUCUGUUAUUCCGCCUGGCUGACGUUCGGACGAAAGGACCUGCUGGGGAUCCAGCAGGAGGUGGGGAGAUUGAUGCGCUCCGAUACCUUCAACCCUGCUCUGAGAGUGAGGAGGAGUGGAAGCGUGGAGGAGCCCAUCUGCAGCACCUCCCAGGGAGAAGCAGGGGUCGAAGGUCAUACCCUGCCACAUCCGCACCAGAGGAGGAAGCCCGAGAAGAGACCUGCUUUCAGCAGAAUCGUGACACAGUGUUCUCCUCUUCUGGUGGCCUUGCUCCCCUCAGCCGCCCCGUGCCCGUCUGCCGCACUGCUGCCUCCGACAGCGCCCCCCGGUGGAGCCUGUGAUAUGGAAGCCCUGAAAGAGCAGCUCGCCUCUCAGCUGGCUUCUGCCAGGUUUGGUAUCCUGGGAACGCCUCUACAUCAGGUCAGCAGCACCACUUUCCAGCCUGUGGGAGAGGAUGAUGAAGAAGCUGAUGAGGAAGAGCUGGAAGAGAAGGAAGAUGAUGAAUAGAAUGGCAGGAUGUCGCUAGAGUGACAUUCAGACAGAAUGACACCUGCGUCCAGCAUUCCUGCGGCCUUCCAGAUGGCCCACAAAAAUUAUUUGCCACUUGGGGGUGCUGUUGCUGCAGGCAGAGCAGCGAACGGGGUGUUUGACUUUGCUAAACUGAAUGAGCGAUCUUCACAUCUUGAACAUCCUAAAGUGAAUGCAUCAUCUCCACAAAUGCGUAGCAAUAUUACUAAUGAUCUAUCUUUUGACCACUGCUGACCAAGACAACUUCCUUAUUGCGCCUGCAUCCACUCCCAUGGAGUCUACACCAAAGUGACAGCUUAGUUUUUUUUGUACCAACGAUAUUAUAUAAAGCACGAUAUAAAGUACCCUUCAUAAUACAAGAACGCGUGAUUUAAUGUAAUGUCAUGAAUUGUUCAUCGAGGUAAAAUGUCGCUUUUUUUACACGCGCCCGUCGGAUCCAAUCAUAAACCUGUCACGAACCUGUUUUUGCUACAUGCAAUCAACCGCAGUAUAUAAACAGUCACUGAAAUUUCACACAAACCAUGGAGCCAAGGCCAUGUGGUCCAAUGAUAUCAUGCAUCUUUGGAUUCAAAUGGUUUUGAUGGCAUUUUAACUGGAUUAAUGAGGGUGUUUAGGUUUUAAUCAGGCCGGUAAUUGAGUAGUGAGAGCUAAUUUUCCCCUCGACGAUGUUAGCUCUCCCUCUAACUGAUGGGGCGCAGAAAAAGCUAAAAAUAAGUUCCGGGAAUCGAGGGAAAAAUUAGCACGACGAGACGUGUUGGUUUGGCAAGGAGACGAAGCUGUCUCUCAAAGCCAGUCCUUUCCAUAGAUCAGGGACCCGCAGACCGCGGUUUACGGCCGCUAGGAAGACAACAGGGACCUGCAGAGGGUGGGUGUUAGGCUGCCUCUUACACCAGGAAGCCUCACUGCAGAUGAUGCUUCAGCGGCUGCAAAGGUCCCAUAGGGGAUUCGGAGGCUGCCUCUUCUGGCAGCUCUUUAAUGAUAUGAAGCUUAGUCCGUUUUAUUUUUAUGGGAAUAAAACAGCUGUCACAUUAAAAUCCUCCUGGAGCUGUCAGAAUGACUCUCAGGUUGCUAAAUGGCACCGAACAAAAACUGUCAGUGUUUGAAAACGUUUUCCUUUAUCAAAUUUUAUGCCUUUCAUAGAUCUAAUAACAAUUCACUAAAGAAAGCGACGGAUUUGAACGCUUUUAUGAUUGAGGUUCAGUUCCACUCUUAUCCCAUUCAUACAGCACCGGUGGCUCAAACUGCAUGGCCAAAACACUAACCUGUUACACAUGGGUCUAGCAAAUAACUAAAUGAAUUAAAAAAUUUAUAAAAACCGGAAUUUUUAAUAGACCCUGUGGCUGGUGCUUGUUAUGUCUUACUUUAAGUUAGGCCUGCAUACUGCGCUUGGUUAAACAGUUAGUUUAGCCAAACAGUCCAAUUCCAGGUUAUGUGGUUACCCUAGCUGGAGUUGAUGUGACGUCACGGCUCUGAGAUGGAAGGGUACCCUGUGUAAAGUGUGUCUCUUUCGUCCCAUGAUUCAAAUCCGCAUCUGAACUGGACUAAACAAACAAUGAAUAAUACAAUAAAU